AAUCAACGCUGGCGGCGUGCCUCAGACAUGCAAGUCGAACGCGAAAUUUCCCUUCGGGGAGAAAGUAGAGUGGCGCACGGGUGAGUAACACGUAGGUAAUCUACCUCUGGGUGGGGAAUAACAGCCGGAAACGGCUGCUAAUACCGCAUAAUGCAGCGGCACCGAAUGGUGACAGUUGUUAAAGCGGGGGACCGAAAGGGCCUCGCGCCUGGAGAGGAGCCUGCGGCAGAUUAGCUAGUUGGUGAGGUAAUGGCUCACCAAGGCAACGAUCUGUAGCCGGCCUGAGAGGGCGGUCGGCCACACUGACACUGACAUACGGGUCAGACUCCUACGGGAGGCAGCAGUCGGGAAUUUUGGGCAAUGGGCGAAAGCCUGAACCAGCAACGCCGCGUGAAGGAUGAAAUCCCUCGGGAUGU
RNAcentral lists this ribosomal RNA (416 nucleotides) under uncultured soil bacterium. RNAcentral's name for it is "bacterial SSU rRNA". It matches the Rfam family "Bacterial small subunit ribosomal RNA", at positions 32 to 426 of the family's 1533-position model. The record is from RNAcentral.